This 344-nucleotide ribosomal RNA is filed under the name uncultured bacterium. RNAcentral describes it as "bacterial SSU rRNA". It matches the Rfam family "Bacterial small subunit ribosomal RNA", at positions 8 to 334 of the family's 1533-position model. The record is from RNAcentral.
AGGGUUUGAUUAUGGCUCAGGAUGAACGCUGGCGGCGUGCUUAACACAUGCAAGUCGAACGAAGCACUUUACUUGAUCUUUUCGGAGUGAUUGUUUUGUGACUGAGUGGCGGACGGGUGAGUAACGCGUGGGUAACCUGCCUCACACAGGGGGAUAACAGUUGGAAACGGCUGCUAAUACCGCAUAAGCGCACAGUACCGCAUGGUAUGGUGUGAAAAACUCCGGUGGUGUGAGAUGGACCCGCGUCUGAUUAGCUAGUUGGCAGGGCAGCGGCCUACCAAGGCGACGAUCAGUAGCCGACCUGAGAGGGUGACCGGCCACAUUGGGACUGAGACACGGCCCAA